This is a long non-coding RNA of Dermochelys coriacea (leatherback sea turtle), 183 nucleotides long. RefSeq lists it as uncharacterized. NCBI's taxonomy places the organism in Eukaryota, Metazoa, Chordata, Testudines, Dermochelyidae. The transcript has 3 exons. The record is from RefSeq and is a predicted model, not a curated record.
CCCAUGUGCUUGGGGGGCACAAGUCCAGACACGUCUGAGGGCAUUGCUGAAUCUCCAGGCAAAGCUGAGCAAUUCCCCUGCGGUGGCCUCAUGCAGGUGAGUCAUUGCAUUGUAGCUCACUUGCUGGACAAUGGCUGUUGAUGGGUUGUUUAACACCCCAAUCGGAUGAGCACACCUCUGAAC